RNAcentral lists this ribosomal RNA (564 nucleotides) under uncultured bacterium. Its description in RNAcentral is "partial 16S ribosomal RNA". It matches the Rfam family "Bacterial small subunit ribosomal RNA", at positions 355 to 914 of the family's 1533-position model. The record is from RNAcentral.
UGGGGAAUUUUGGACAAUGGGCGAAAGCCUGAUCCAGCAAUGCCGCGUGUGUGAAGAAGGCCUUCGGGUUGUAAAGCACUUUUGUCCGGAAAGAAAUCCUUGGCUCUAAUACAGUCGGGGGAUGACGGUACCGGAAGAAUAAGCACCGGCUAACUACGUGCCAGCAGCCGCGGUAAUACGUAGGGUGCAAGCGUUAAUCGGAAUUACUGGGCGUAAAGCGUGCGCAGGCGGUUUGCUAAGACCGAUGUGAAAUCCCCGGGCUCAACCUGGGAACUGCAUUGGUGACUGGCAGGCUAGAGUAUGGCAGAGGGGGGUAGAAUUCCACGUGUAGCAGUGAAAUGCGUAGAGAUGUGGAGGAAUACCGAUGGCGAAGGCAGCCCCCUGGGCCAAUACUGACGCUCAUGCACGAAAGCGUGGGGAGCAAACAGGACUAGAUACCCUGGUAGUCCACGCCCUAAACGAUGUCAACUAGUUGUGGGGAUUCAUUCCUUAGUAACGUAGCUAACGCGUGAAGUUGACCGCCUGGGGAGUACGGUCGCAAGAUUAAAACUUAAAUGAAUUGAC